UGAGAUGUGAAAAGGAGCCACCAGU
Molecule: non-coding RNA, 25 nt
Filed under: Mus musculus (house mouse)
Lineage: Eukaryota; Metazoa; Chordata; Mammalia; Rodentia; Muridae
Source: RNAcentral